Long non-coding RNA from Triticum dicoccoides, 283 nucleotides. RefSeq lists it as uncharacterized. Lineage: Eukaryota; Viridiplantae; Streptophyta; Magnoliopsida; Poales; Poaceae. The record is from RefSeq and is a predicted model, not a curated record. The transcript is spliced from 3 exons.
GGCGCCCCUGCUACAUGCACGAGUGCAAGCGUCACGUGGCCGUGAGUAGGCCAGUUCCACGCCAACAAGAUGAACCUGGGCACUGCAACUACCUAUGUACUCUUCUGUUGAUGAACUUCCUCCACACCUGCAGUGACAAGAAAACACUGAAGAAGUGGUUCUUCAUCGACAAGACAGUUGGCUAAGAAAAUCCAGCUGAAAGAGAGACAACCAUCGUACCUGCCUGAGAAAGAUCCUGCCUACAGUGCAUGGAUGGUAAGGUCAUUGUUGUGAAGGCCCCACA